Long non-coding RNA from Amphiprion ocellaris (clown anemonefish), 627 nucleotides. The record is from Ensembl. Lineage: Eukaryota; Metazoa; Chordata; Actinopteri; Pomacentridae.
ACUCAGGCGUAAAAAAUCGAUCCUGGCCAAAAUCGAACCAACGCCCAGCUAGUCACGUGGCGCUCCUCCGGUCAUGUGACGCAGACGGUUCACCUCACAAGACCAGGGUCAACCAGGGCUACCAGCAUGAACGACGGCGCUUCACAACACCGUAUGAACUGACCAGUCUGGUGAAAUUCUGGACUGGAUGGGAGACUCUACCAAGAACUCUCUUCACAGAAGUAGUGAAUGGCAGAUAGCUGACAGCCUCCACCUGCUAUGAGACCUUACAUUCCCAGGACAUUACAAGGACUAUGCAUCAUUUAAGACUGACAUCCUGGCCUGUAUUUGCACUUGCCAGUCAAGAUAUGUUAGGUGUUGUUCUCUAGUUAGUUUUACUUGACUGACAAAACUAAGUGCACUUUUGGAUUCCCUCCCCUGCCUGUUCUCCUAACUCACCUGACAGGUUAUCUGGCUCAAGUAUGCGUGUUUCUGCCAUACAUUUAAAGUAUCUGAAGUUAAGAAUAUUUUUGGUGAACAAUACAUGCAAUUAAAGCAGGAGUAAAAAAUGAACCGGACUGUACUGUAUUUUGUCACUGGCGAAUGGGAUGAAAAUCCGUUGCAAUAUUACAAAACAGCAGCCUACAC